RNAcentral lists this unclassified non-coding RNA (2531 nucleotides) under Apis florea (little honeybee). Its description in RNAcentral is "uncharacterized LOC100867012, transcript variant X2". The record is from RNAcentral. Lineage: Eukaryota; Metazoa; Arthropoda; Insecta; Hymenoptera; Apidae.
AUAGUAUCAUAAAUUUUACUGAUACGAAAAUAUAGCAUUCAGAAUGGUGAAUAAAAUCUAACAAUAUCCUAUCUUAAGCUCCAUUAUGGAGAUGUUCAGUCAACGUCCCCUUCCAAUUUUAGUAUAUUUUUAGAAAUAUUGCAUGGAAAGUACCUUGUCAGAAAAAAAUAAACUUUUACCUUGACACAAUAUGGAUAAUAAUCCCAUAAUGAAAAUGAGCAAAGGCUGUUGGAAAUUUGACGAAGAUGAUCGAGCAUUAUAUAUAGACAUUGAAGAAAAUACUGAAGAAGAGAAAGAAAAUAAAAUAUAUAGUUGUUGGGAUCAAACACCUGAUAUACUUUUAGAAGAAAUUUUUUCUUAUUUAACUAUUCGUGAAAGAUAUUAUGCAUCUUUGGUAUGUAGGUCAUGGUAUCGUGCUUUUAAAUUACCAAAAGUAUGGUCUACAUUUACAUUAGAAGACACCACUCUUACUAGAGGCAAAUUUAAUUAUCAUAGUGGUUGGCAAUAUGUUCUGGAUCAUAUGAGAACUUCCACAUGUUUAAAUAAAGUUGGAAGAAAUUUUAGAUCUCUUAUUUUUGAACCAAUGUUGAAUUUUUAUAAUCUUUAUGAAUUUAUGAAUAUGAUAUCAUGGUAUACUGAAAGACAAGGAUCAGAUAAUACAUCAGUAGCAGGAGUUGGUACUUAUAUUCGACGACUUAAAUUUACAUUUCCUUGUAACAUGGCAAACAGAGAUGAUCCUGAUAGCAUUAGAAUUUUUGGUACUGGAGGAAAAUUAUUAGAAGCAUUGAAAAGGUUGAUGCGUAAUUUACAUAAUUUGAAAUGCUUAGAGUUAAUAGAUCUCAUGUUAGAUAGUAAAGAAGCUUUACAUUUAAUGGAUGAUAUCUGUGCAAAUUGUACUCAGACAUUAUCAAAAUUGAUUUUAAUUAAUACUACAAGGUAUCAUUGCCCUCUUUUACAUGUAGGAGUAUUUAUUAAUUUAAAUGUAUUAGUUAUUAGUCCUCAAAAUCUUCACGAAGAUGUAAUAGAUUUAAUUGGAUAUACUAAAUUGCAACAUCUUCAUAUUGUUCAAAAUUGUUAUAGUCCAAAAGAUGCUACAGUGAGAUUGCCUUCAAGAAAAUCUUGGAUAAAGAUGAAAAGAAAUAAUCCUCACAUUAAAGUUCACUUUGAAGUGGAAAGUCAUAAGUCUACAGAUAUACUUUUGCCCAUUGAUUUAUUAGAACAUGGGAAUAUUCCAUGUCACAGUAUUGUUUUAGAUAUUCCAAAUACACAGAUUUCAUCUUCAACUAUUCUUAAUCAUGGAACAUUUUUUGAAUCAACAAUAAAGGUAUAUGCGUUUAAAGGUCUAAGCAGAUAUUUUGUGCCCAGAAAUUUUUCUCAAAGAUUGGAUGAAGCACUAGUACAAUUUUGCAAAAUGUGUCCAAACCUUCAUACACUGGUAUCACUUUGUGUUUGACUGAAUUUCUGAUGUGUAUUGUCACUUUUUUAAAAUCACUAUGAUUUUAACAAAAACUCUUAAUGAUGUGUGAUAGCAUGCAUUCAAAUUUUUGUUAUACAAAAUUAUUUAUUACUAUUCGUCUUCUAUGGAUCUAUUUAUAUACAUAUGUUGUGUAGCAAUAUAUCACUGAUUUGUCAAUAGUACAUAAGACAAGAGAUUUAAAUUCAGAUCAAUGAUUGUAUCAAUGACUUGGAAGCCAAUCAGUGGGAGACAAAUAUUUUACCAUGACACAUUUAAUCCCAUAAUGAAAAUGAGCCUGGUCUUUGAACGAAUGAUACUUUAUAUAAUAUAAUAUAAUAUAAUUAUAUUAUAAUCCACGGAUUGGUUUCCUUGGUAUUUUUUAUCCUUUCAUACAACUAAUACAUUUAUCAAAUAACUUCCUUUCAAAUAACUAAUUCAUAAGCAAAGUUUAGUAAUUUGAAUUCAUAAUUUAUCAGACUUGUAUAUGCGAUAAAUGUUUCCGCAGAUGAUUCGAGAUAAAAUUUCAACGGCCACCAUUUUAGAAAUUGUAUCUACAGCAAAGAAUUUACGUUGUUUAUAUGUCCGAAGAUAUUCAAUUUUAAAAAAAUGUGAUGGGGAUUGGUUAAAAAUUAUGAACUGGUCACCGGAACAUUAUCAAUGGAUUCAAAAAAAUAGCCGUAGUUAUGAAAAUACAGAAAAAGAGGUAUCUAGAAUAUUGAACUAUAGAUGGCACAUGUUAACUGAAAGAGAAUUUGCUGAUCAAAUGGUGAAAUUACAUUUAUAAUGUGUUUAUAAAAAAAAGGGAAAAAGUUCUUAAAAAAAGUGUUUUAUAACAGAUUGUGAUUAUAUAAUUAUAUCUCUAUAAAUAAUAUCUUGUAAAGUAUAUCGUUUAUGUAGUUUAUAUUACAUAUAUUACAUACAAUUUAUAUAAUGUAUUUACACUUUUUGACAUAACUGUGAUGAUGUAAAUACAUAAAAAAUUAUUGCUUACUUGAAAUUGAUUAAGGUGGAUUGUUAAAUACAGAAUUGUACAAUCAUAAAAAUUAAUAAUAUAAUAAAAUAAUUGAAAUUGUAA